This 207-nucleotide ribosomal RNA is filed under the name uncultured Verrucomicrobiota bacterium. RNAcentral's name for it is "uncultured Verrucomicrobia bacterium partial 16S ribosomal RNA". It matches the Rfam family "Bacterial small subunit ribosomal RNA", at positions 568 to 774 of the family's 1533-position model. The record is from RNAcentral. Lineage: Bacteria; Pseudomonadati; Verrucomicrobiota.
UGCGUAGGCGGUCGGGUAAGUCUGACGUGAAAUUCUGGAGCUCAACUCCGGAACUGCGUCGGAAACUAUUCGGCUAGAGGAUUGGAAGGGGACGUGGAAUUCUCGGUGUAGCAGUGAAAUGCGUAGAUAUCGAGAGGAACACCCGUGGCGAAGGCGAGUCCCUGGACAAUUCCUGACGCUGAGGCACGAAAGCUAGGGGAGCAAACA